UAUUUAAUAUGUUCAAUGAAUAAAAUAGUGUUUAUUUAUUAUAUACUCAUUGCACAGAAUAAAUUGUUCAUAAAUAUUUACAUUAUAAAAUAAACCCUGCCUCGGUUGGGGUUUUUAUUUGGUGUAAAGAUUAAGAACAGCAGUUAGGAAAGAAUCAGAACAUCUUGGUUCCUAAAUAGAUGAUGGGUUGAAAAAGGAAACUUUUUCUUGAAGUCUUAUUCUGAUUUUUAUUGAAUUCUUACUAUGUACCAGAUAUUGUAUGAGGUACAUUUACAUACAUCAUUAUUUAACCACAUCCUAUUCAGGUUUUCUCAUCUAUAAAAUGAUUCAGAUGAUAUUGGUAGUAUGUGGUUACAUAAUGAAACAAUAUCAUUUGGCUUCUUCUGGUAUACAUUAGCAGUUCCCAAAGUGUGGUCUGGGGCUUGGGCCCUUUCAAGGCAUCCAUGAAGUUGAAACUAUAUUCAUAAUAAUGAUUUUUAUUACCUUUUUCACUCUCAUUCUGUGUAUGUGGAGUGUUCUGGAAGCUACGUGAUGUAGGAUGAUGAUAUAACUCUGGUGGCUAAUGGAAUGUUUGCUUGUAUGUUCUUGUAUAUAAUAAUUUCUCAGUUGUACUUUUUAGUGUGAUAAAUGUCAAUAAUGAUAGCCCAAAUAAACAAAAGCUCUUUGGGGUCUUCUAUAAUUUUAAAAAGAGUAAAGGGGUCUUACAGCCAUAAAGCCUUCAGCCUCAUUCUGAAGAAAUGCAGUUACUUAUUAGUUGCUGCUUAGGAACUAAACAAAAUUGCUGCCACAUUCUGAAUACUGCUGCAUUAGACCAGUGGCUGUCAGUAAUCAAAAACAUCCCCUUAGCUUAUCAGCAAUACACAACCAAAAGCCAGGAAAAUGGAAUUAGCAAAUGUGUUUAACUCAUCUGCAUGUAUUUUCUGAGAGUUUUUUUGGCAGCUUCAGAUUUGCUGUUGCAGUAGAAUGUGGGUUAUAUUAAUAAUUAAAAUACAGUUGACCACAAAGCUGCAAGCUAAUUUAUGGACAGAAAAGAAUAGUGAAACACAGCAUAAAACAACUGUUGGUAGGUCUUCUUAAACAGUUUUACAAUGUAAAUGGAACAGGUUUAUAUUAGUGAUUCUUGCUAAAAUUUGGUCAGACAUAUGGGAAUGAAUAGAUUGGACUUGAAUUAAGAUGAAAUAGUGACAGAUUCUUGGGUGUGUUAAUAUUGCAAACUUAUAUAAAAUAAAACCUUUAGCAACUGAAAGAUAUGUAUACUUUAGAGCUUGGAAAGCUAUCAUUUAUUUGUUGUUUACAUGUUGGACACAUUUGUUUUCUUUAGUAAGUUCCAUCCUAUUUUUUAUCUUUUGUGAAAGAUCAUUUUAGAACCAUAGGCAUACCUAAAGAUACAAGUAAAUACAAUCUACCACAUAAUACGAUGUAAUCUACGUUUGUAUUUCUGUAUACAAAAGAAUGUCGUCUGCUUGUUAGCCACUUGUAUGUCUAUUCAUCCCUACUUCAGAAAGAGUUUUAAUUCAGACCACUUUUUGGGAAAGCCUAGUGCAAGCCCCACACAGGGCUGUUAAUCUCAUUGUAAAAAUCAACACCAUUCUGAGGUCUCAUUGUCCCUGAUGUUUUGUUAAAACUAAAGCAAUUAAGGAGAGGCCAGAGAAAAGUUUUCAAAUGAUUGAAAAAUACAUAUCACCUUCUAACAGACAAGUGUGCAGACAUUAGAAUAAAUAAUAUAUACACAAAACAAUUUUCUGAAAUGGUGACUGAUGCAUUUCCAACAUACUAUGUCACAGACUUCAUGAUCAUCAGAAGAGUAAAUUGUUGAAAAUGCAUUGUUCUGUGGCCUCUGAUAUAAUAACGAACAGUGUUGUCAGAGUGUUUCUUCAUCAGUAAUAUGAAGAAAAUUUGGAGAAGCCGGCCUUGUUCUAUAAAUCAAUAAAUAAUUCUACAGAAAAGCACUUGGUAAUAUCUUUACAUCUUCCUCUCUAGAUUCCUUGAGUCAAAUGACAAGAAAACACUUAGAUAUCAUUAACUCAUUGUGAAAAAAAAAAAAAAAAGUAAAAGCAAGUUCCAAAGUACAUGCUAAGAUCUGUGUGUUCAGUUCAGGAUUUUAUUAACAUAUACAGUGCAUAAUGUUCAGAGUGGUUAUUCAUUGAAGGACCUUAGAUCAUCACAAAAAAUGUAAUACACUUUUCAAAGGCAUCAGCUGAGGAAUCAAGUCAGAAAUUUCCAUUAUAAGGAUUAAACUGAACAAUUCUCUUAUCAAAAAGCCUUCGUCUCCUAUCCAUGCCAAAUAACUGAGUACUCUCUGAGCCAUCCAGCGGUCAGUUAGCCAAGUAGCAUUUUCACCCACAAAUAUUAGUCCAAAAAAAGUAAGAAUCAAAAGAGAAGUCAAGGAAUAUCAUAAAAUAGCUAUGAUCACAAUGGCAAACAUCAAAAUUUUCACCAACAUUUAUCAGUGAGAAUGUUUUAUACAUUAUACAUUAGCAUUCUAUUCAUCUGUGAAAAAAGAAAAAAACCUUUUUCAUAUCUGUAGGUCCUCAGAACCCUUUGAGAAUUAAAGAGGCUUCAACUGCCAGCAGAUUCUACAUUGGGCAUAUUCUUUAAGACAUUGCUGAUCUCACGAGAGAUAGAGAAAACUCUCCAAAACAGCAUCACUGAAACAGAAUGAAACAAACCCUCAGUUCUGAGCUGUGAGCUGCAGGCACACUUAGCAGGUCAGGGUUUUCCCCAUGAUAGAUGCCCAGAGAGGUACAGGGGUGAGCAUUACCCCAAAGGCAGAUGCCUAUAGCAGUUUUCUGAGCAAUCUGUGAGAAGGAGCUAAGUGUAGGGCUUCUGAAUUAAGCCAGGAUUCUCAAGAUGUCUGAAAUAGUAAUAAGUCAGUAGCACCCCUGGCUACUGAAUUCCUAAUUUAGACCUUGUAGGAGUCCCCCAGUUUAAGGUCAAGAAAUGAGUUCCAAAUAAAUAUCAGCAAGCAUGUGAGAAGGUAAUCACCUUGAAUGACAUUCAUCAAAAACAGGAAGAGGGAUACAGACUCCCCACUCAUCCCCUACCCUUGGAAAGCAGAAAUUGGGAUUGCCUGAUACAGAAUAUAAAACAGCUGUUCUGAAUUAUUUAAAGAAAGAGGGCAUAGGCUUGCAACAAUAAACUAUUAGGAAUGUCCAGGAUGAUUUGAAAACCAAGUGAAAAAAACCAAGUGAAGCUUCUAAAGUUAAAAAAUAUGAUUACUGAAACAAAAAUUCAUUGAAAGGGUUAGAUAGCUUACUGGACACAGCAGAAGAAAAACCUGAAACCAAAAGAGAUAUGCAAAGAAAUUGCCAAGAAUGAAACCAACAAUGUCUUAAAGAAUAUGUCCUAUCCAGGGUCUGCUGGAAUUUGAAGGCUUUUAGUUCUUGAAGAGUUUGUAGGAUCUUUGAAUGUUAAAAAUGUAUGUCUUCUUUACUGAUCAAUAGAAGAGUAAAGUGCAGAACUGUUCUUACUAAUGAACUUUGGUGAGAACUGUUUGUUUUUGCUUUUGCCAGUGUUAUCAUAUAUUUUCAUGUUAUUUUGCUUCUGUUCUGAUUUUUGACAAUAUUAGUGAAUAAGUAGUGAGAAGAA
This is a long non-coding RNA of Sapajus apella (tufted capuchin), 3588 nucleotides long. RefSeq lists it as uncharacterized. The transcript has 2 exons. The record is from RefSeq and is a predicted model, not a curated record. NCBI's taxonomy places the organism in Eukaryota, Metazoa, Chordata, Mammalia, Primates, Cebidae.